GAAGGUUUACCACUGGUAGUGAAUUGGUGUUUAUAGGAGGGAGAAGGUUUACCACUGGUAGUGAAUUGGUGUUUAUAGGAGGGAGAAGGUUUACCACUGGUAGUGAAUUGAAGAUUUAGGAGGGAUUAGGUUUACCACUGGUAGUGAAUUGGUGUUUAUAGGAGGGAGAAGGUUUACCACUGGUAGUGAAUUGGUGUUUAUAGGAGGGAGAAGGUUUACCACUGGUAGUGAAUUGGUGUUUAUAGGAGGGAGCAGGUUUACCACUGGUAGUGAAUUGAAGAUUUAGGAGGGGGCUUGUAGAAGCUCUGAUAGAAAAAUGAAGAGUGAGGCAGCAUGAGGCAGAAGUCUCUCUACAAUGGAGAUGAGAGAAAUAAGUUAAUGAAGAACUAUUAGAUUUUCCUAUGACCAUGACUCAAAAAACCCAAGUUAUGUCCUUCUGACCCUGAUUAAGCAAAUUUUGUCUCUGCUCAGUGUUAAGAGGUGGAUGAAAUGUGUUCCAGAUUUAAGUGGACAGGAUUUAUGUCAAAAGAGGAUUAGUUGCCUUUGGCUAACAAUUUAUCUUUGUUUUUUGUAAUGAAGGAUAUUUUUGAUAGUUAUAAAGAAUUGGAGAAGGAAUCCAUUAUAGUUGUGUGUGCUUACAUUCAUAUUUACACUUUUCAUGUUUUUCUGUCACAUCUAUCUAACAAAGACCUGUUUGUGUCAAGUUUUCACAAACCUUUGGUAUGUCAUCAGUUCUGUUAUAGUUAUCAUGGUAAACUAGCACCAGGCAGUUCAGAGGCUACACUUCAGACACCUGCACUGCUAGACGAAGUUUCAAAUAAUUUGGUCAAAGAAAUUUAAUGAUGAAAAUUUACGAAAAUGUUUUGUUGCAUCAAGAAUUUGAUGUGGUAUAAUGUGAUCAAUGAAAAGGAAACAUUUAUCAAGGAAAACAUUAAUCCCAAAGUAUAGUUGUAAUAAAGGGUUUUGAUUAUUUAUCAUUGAUAGAAGAACCCUUUGCCCUUUGGCUACCACAGAGGUAAUGCACUUUGUUUAAUGCACUUCAUUAUAGGCACAGUAUGUCUUUUUGUGAUUUACACAAGAUAAAUGUCACUACAAUCCACAGAUUUUCUUCUUUCUUCCGAUUCUCUUGGGGUUUGAGGUAAUUGAGUUUCACAGAUUCAUAAAUUAUGUUUGUGAGAUUUUUAGCCCACCAUGAGCAAAUAUCCAUUUUUCCAUGAAUCAUCUGUCCACCCUUCAGCAUUACUUAUUUCUGGAGAGGUAGUACUGGAUGAAUCAUUUUGAAUUCCAUAUGUAUCUGUCAGGUUCCUCUUGGUCCGUAGUUGUACAUGUGUUCAAUUUGGAGUUUAUUGAAAAAGCAAAAUGGCAAUCGAAGAGAAAAUAAAAAAUGAAGAAGGAGGAAAGAGAAGGAGAUAGUACCAGUUGUAGAACCAAUGAAAAUCACAUUGUGGCACCAAAAUCAGAUCUCUUGUAUUGUCGCUAUUUCACAGCAUUCAUCCUGCUUUGUUGUGCAUACACCCCCCCCCCCUUUUUUUCCCACAUGUAAUGAUGAGGACAUACAUUCAAUAUCAUCAUCAAUAAACUUAACAAGUUGAAUGAAUUUACAAGCAGUCUUUAAUUUUAUAUUUUUUUCUAAACAUGAACCUGAUGAUUUUAUAAAAAAGGAUUUUGUAUUUUAAGAUAGUUUUUCACAUAUCACUAUAAAAUUUCAUCAGAAUGUGUUUAGGAGCUGUUACCCUAUGUUGAUUCCUGCUGUGAUGAUUUGUUUACAAUGUAUGGUUAGCUUUGUGCACACAUCAGUAAAGCUAUGUUAUUA
Ylistrum balloti is the source of this 1813-nucleotide long non-coding RNA. RefSeq lists it as uncharacterized. The record is from RefSeq and is a predicted model, not a curated record. Lineage: Eukaryota; Metazoa; Mollusca; Bivalvia; Pectinida; Pectinidae. The transcript is spliced from 2 exons.